This 454-nucleotide ribosomal RNA is filed under the name uncultured Prevotella sp. Its description in RNAcentral is "bacterial SSU rRNA". It matches the Rfam family "Bacterial small subunit ribosomal RNA", at positions 341 to 792 of the family's 1533-position model. Lineage: Bacteria; Pseudomonadati; Bacteroidota; Bacteroidia; Bacteroidales; Prevotellaceae. The record is from RNAcentral.
ACGGGAGGCAGCAGUGAGGAAUAUUGGUCAAUGGACGAGAGUCUGAACCAGCCAAGUCGCGUGCAGGAUGACGGCCCUAUGGGUUGUAAACUGCUUUUGUACGGGAAUAAAGUGACCUACGUGUAGGUUUUUGCAUGUACCGUAAGAAUAAGGACCGGCUAAUCCCGUGCCAGCAGCCGCGGUAAUACGGAAGGUCCGGGCGUUAUCCGGAUUUAUUGGGUUUAAAGGGAGCGUAGGCCGUGCUUUAAGCGUGUUGUGAAAUGUAGGCGCCCAACGUCCGCACUGCAGCGCAAACUGGAGCACUUGAGUACGCAGGAGGUAGGCGGAAUUCGUCGUGUAGCGGUGAAAUGCUUAGAUAUGACGAAGAACUCCGAUUGGGAAGGCAGCUUACUGUAGCGCAACUGACGCUGAGGCACGAAGGUGCGGGGAUCAAACAGGAUUAGAUACCCUGGUA